GGAAAAACCACCAAGCUACAACUUCAAAGCUUACCUUAUUUAGAAAAGGAGAAAAGGCUUUUUUAUAGAUGUUGAGGUUGAGUAAGGGGGGCGGAGCUUGAAGAGCGAAGCGAGCCGCGUUAGCCUAGCAACAAUUUUUAGCAGCAAGCUAAGGUCUAACGACCCCCUAUCCUAGGUUGGGGCGAAAACUCCAAAAUCCAAAAUGUUGCUUAGGGUUCCAAACCUUUCUCUAGUAAUAAGGUAUGCUUUCAAGCCGCCGCCCUUUGAAGGAGCGGGCGUAGUGAACUAUAAUUGUGAAAAGAUUAGAAGAUCUAGCCAAAGAAGAUGAUAGCCCUGUAGAUACAUUCCCAUGGUUCGAUCCUUCCCGGUAAAACACAGCGUGUUCGAAUUCUGAUCGCUUUUAUGUGAGAAAGGUGGACCACCCUCUAAGCCUAAGUAUUCCUCAAUGACCGAUAGUGUACAAUUACAAUGAGGGAAAGGUGAAAAGAACCCUAUUUAGGGAGUGCAAUAGAUAACCUGAGAUCCGAUGCGAAUAAUCAGUCGAAGGAGCAAAGCUUAGAGCCUUUACUUUAUGUAAAGUACACUCACUCUAAUGGCGUACCUUUUGCAUGAUGGGUCAGCGAGGAAACUCCGAAUACAGGCCUAGAUCAUUUGUACAGACAGAAUUUUUGGGUGCUAAGAUCCAAAGUUAAGAGGGAAACAGCCCAGAUCGAAUGCUAAGGUCCCUAAGCAAUCACUUAGUGGAAAAGGAAGUGAUCGAGUGAUGACAACCACAGGUAGGCUUGGAAGCAACCAUCCUUUGAAGAAAGCGUAAUAGCUCACUGGUCUAGCUCUAUGUCUAGCUCACGGGAACCAUCUUAUUUCAGGGCUCAAGUGAUUCACCAAAGCAACGAGACCUUAAAAGCUACUUUUUCAAGUGUUAGUAGCGGAACGUUCUAUCAAUAGGGGAAGUUUUUGGUGACAAAACCUGGAGAUAUCAGAAGUGAGAAUGCUGACAUGAGUAACGAAAAAUCCUAUGAAAAACACGAUCGCCUGCCAGUGGAAGGUUUUCUGCAUUCAGUCAAUCUACGCAGAGUGAAUCGGUCCCUAAGAAACCCCCGAAAAGGCUGGCGUCUGAUGGGUACAUGAAAGUGAUGAAGUUGCUUUAACUACAGAACCAUGGCUGUCUAUUGGAGAGAAUUAGAUGAUCGAUCCGAGGGCUGCCCCAUCUUUCCCUUACUCUCCUUUCCCUAAUAUGAACCUUGAGUCAUCAAAGCCUUUCUGACUUGGCCUGGUUCGGUCGCCUUACGUGACUGGAGCUUCAAAAGGCGAAACUCUCGGUCGUAGUUUGGCGACCUAUCUUCAGUAGGGGCCUUUAGUCUUUUGAUUAGAGUAGGGGUCACGAGAGAGUAGAGUGUACCCCCCUGUCAUAGUCACGAGUCUGUUUAUAGUCACGACUAUUGUCAUAGUCAACAAGGUUGAAACUUCCAAGAAAAAACUUCGAAUUCGGAGGGCGAUCCUCCCGGUGAUUUAACUGUACCCCAAAAUGACACAGGUGAAAAAGUAGGUAUACUAGGGCGCUUGAGAGAACCAUGUCGAAGGAACUCAACAAAAUGACCCCGUAACUUUGGGAGAAAGGUGCUCUCUUAUGUUUUGAUUAGGAAAGCGGCACAUACUAGGGGGUAGUGAGUGUUUAUUAAAAACAAAGGACUCUGCUAAAUGGUAACACUAUGUAUAGAGUCUGACACCUUUCCGGUACUGGAAGGUCGGAAGGAGAAGUGUCAUAAGCUUUUAAUGGAAGCCCCGGUAAACGGCGGCAGUAACUCUAAUUGUCCUAAGGUAGCAAAAUUCCUUGUCGAAUAAGUAGCGACCUGCACGAAUGGUGUAACGACUGCCCCGCUGUCUCCAAAAUGGACCCGGUGAAAUUGAAUUCUCCGUGAAGAUGCAGAGUACGAAUAGCUAGACGGUAAGACCCCGCGCACCUUAACUAUAGCUUCACAGUGACAACCUUAAUCGAAUGUGUAGGAUAGGUGGGAGGUGGUAACAUACAACGACCAAUCCUGAAAGACCACUCUUUCAUCUAAGGAUGCCUAACCGAUGCACCGAUCAUUCGGGGGAGGCGGGACACUGCGAGGUGGGUAAUUUAUCUAGGGCCGAUGACUCUUAAAGAGUAACGAAGGUAUGCGAAGGUAGGCUCAAGCUAAGAUUCUGCUCGUGAGCAUAAUGGUAUUAGCCUGCCUGACUGUGAGACCGACUGGUAGAACAGAGACAAAAGUCAACCAUAGUGAUCCGGGAGUCCCGUGUGGAAGGGCUCUCGCUUAACGGAUCAAAGGUACGUCGGGGAUAACAGGCUGAUGACACCCAAGAGAUCUUAUCGACGGAGUCGUUUGGUACCUCGAUGUCGACUCAUCACAUCCUGGGGUUAAAGAAGGUCCCAAGGGUUCAAUUGUUCGCUGAUUCACGUGGUACGUGAGUUAGGUUUAGAAUGUCAUAAGAUAGUUCAGUUCCUAUCGACUAUUGGUGUUAAAAGGAGAACUGCGAAGAGCCAACCCUACCACGAGAGGACUGGGUUGGGCUAACCAAUGGUGUACCGGUUGUUAUGCCAGUAGCAGUGCCGGGUAGCUAAGUUGGUAUGGAAGAACUGAUGCGCCGCGGGAAAAUUUUCUCUAUAAAUGUUCUUGGAUGAGGUUUUUGAACAGAACUCUGAUAGGCGAGAGGUGUAAGCACCGCGAGGUGUGAAGCGAUCUCGUACUAAACGAAACAACUUUCACUU
RNAcentral lists this ribosomal RNA (2752 nucleotides) under Nicotiana tabacum (common tobacco). RNAcentral's name for it is "bacterial LSU rRNA". It matches the Rfam family "Bacterial large subunit ribosomal RNA". The record is from RNAcentral. Lineage: Eukaryota; Viridiplantae; Streptophyta; Magnoliopsida; Solanales; Solanaceae.